CAGGAGGUGAAAAGCCAAGCCCUUGAAUCCCCGGAGCACAGAGACGUCCGCUUGGCCAAAGGAGAGCCCAUGGUCCCUUCCAUCUGACAGCUGUUGAGAGAUUUGUGGGAUGAGGGAGCCCCCCAGAGGCCUCGUUCUAGAACUGCAGCAAAUCCCAAAUUUCAGAGAAAGCCUUUAGAACUGCAGCAAAGGGAUCAUUUGAGACAAGCCCUCCUGGCCUAUGGAUGAGGAAACUGAGGCACAAAGAGGGGCAGUCCAUGGCCAGGACACACAGCAAGCUAGGAACUGCACAUUCACAGAUGUCCCUUUAUUCUCCUGUGGUUGGAUUGAGCCAUCUAGAGAAUUUGCUAAGCCCCAACCUCUCUGCUGACCUCCAGCCUCCCAUCUCCAACUGCCUUCCAGACAUCUCAGACUGGGUGUCCAGUAGACUGAUGGAUGGAUAGUAGGUGAGGAGGCACUGGACCCCCUGAACAGCCACUUCAUGAUGGACAGAGAGAUCUGGACCUGGCCUCCCCCCAGCUCUUACAGUGUGUAAUUUGGGCAGCUCAGGCCCAAUGGGAAAGGGUAUGACAUUCAGUUGCUACCAAAAAAAGUGUGUUUUCCUUCCAGGGGCAUCCAAGCCCUCAGAGGGUCUCAGAGGUGCUCACUGGACUUGCUGACUGUGAGUGCCUUGUGUUGUCUGCAUCUGCUCCAGGCCCUGAGAAUCCUUUACGUCUUCUGGGUUUGUUUUUUUUUUUUUUUUGGGGGGGGGACAGGAGGAACAAAGCCUGUCCUGUAUUUGUUAUGAAUCAUUACUUUGAAGGUUUGUGUGGGUCCCAUCUGUGGACAAGGAGCUGCCUGGGAGCUAUGUUCCAGGUUGCCCCUGAGCCACUCUGGCUGGGGGCAGAACUCCCAAAGACACUCCCUGUCUUCACUCACCUUGUCUGGGGGCUGACACCUUUUAUGGGGCUCUUCUCUGUACAUUGGCCAGGGUCAGCCUGUCUCUAACCCCCAGGAUUUGUGACCCUUUUCAUUCCCAGGGAAGACAUCCCAGCACCCUUCCCCCAAGAUUCAUCUUGGCCUGGGGCCAUCUUUGUUCUGCCUCUCCUCCCCACCUAAGUCUGCUGUAUCCUAGAUCUUAGCCAGGAAAGUAGCAGAAUCAUCCAGGGCUUAAGGUCUUGGUCCCAGGAGUGUGGCCUCUGCUACUGGUCUCUAAGCCACACCAAGUAUCAAAGGAACAGUGGAACCAUCUCUGGAUGGGAAGGGCCCUCAGAGACUGGCUUGUCCAACCCUCUCAUUUUACAGAGGGGGAAACUGAGGCCUGGGCAGAGGAAGUGUCACAGCACUGGGAAAGACUCCAAAGGUGAGGAGAUGGUGACAACUGGUCAAGAGAAGGAAGAAUAGAAACACACAGAAACACAUUUCACUCAACAGGGAAAUAGGAGGGAAUGGAGUGAAGGGUGA
This 1443-nucleotide long non-coding RNA is filed under the name Phascolarctos cinereus (koala). RNAcentral describes it as "lncRNA (ENSPCIG00000028958.2)". Lineage: Eukaryota; Metazoa; Chordata; Mammalia; Diprotodontia; Phascolarctidae. The record is from RNAcentral.